RNAcentral lists this ribosomal RNA (433 nucleotides) under uncultured bacterium. RNAcentral describes it as "partial 16S ribosomal RNA". It matches the Rfam family "Bacterial small subunit ribosomal RNA", at positions 29 to 507 of the family's 1533-position model. The record is from RNAcentral.
AACGAACGCUGGCGGCAUGCCUAACACAUGCAAGUCGAACGAUCCCUUCGGGGAUAGUGGCGCACGGGUGCGUAACGCGUGGGAACCUGCCCUUAGGUUCGGAAUAACUCAGAGAAAUUUGAGCUAAUACCGGAUAAUGUCUUCGGACCAAAGAUUUAUCGCCUUUGGAUGGGCCCGCGUUGGAUUAGCUAGUUGGUGGGGUAAAGGCCUACCAAGGCGACGAUCCAUAGCUGGUCUGAGAGGAUGAUCAGCCACACUGGGACUGAGACACGGCCCAGACUCCUACGGGAAGCAGCAGUGGGGAGUAUUGGACAAUGGGCGAAAGCCUGAUCCAGCAAUGCCGCGUGAGUGAUGAAGGCCUUAGGGUUGUAAAGCUCUUUUACCCGGGAUGAUAAUGACAGUACCGGGAGAAUAAGCCCCGGCUAACUCCGUG